Monodelphis domestica (gray short-tailed opossum) is the source of this 2977-nucleotide long non-coding RNA. RefSeq lists it as uncharacterized. The record is from RefSeq and is a predicted model, not a curated record. NCBI's taxonomy places the organism in Eukaryota, Metazoa, Chordata, Mammalia, Didelphimorphia, Didelphidae.
UAGCUGCAAAAAACAUUUUCUAAAUAGAUCUUUACAGAUUCGUCUUUUAUGAUAAAAAUUCUAAAAUAAUAUACAGUUGGAUAAAUAUAUAUGUAUUGUCAUUACUUUUUUGAUUAUUCCCAUUUCCCAUCAGGAAGAAUGAUAUUAUAGUUGGAAACCAGCCCAUUUGUAGAUAGAAAUUAUCUAACAAGAUAGGUUGGGUUUUAGUCUCUAAAUAUUUUUGUUUUUUGUUUGUUUAUUACGGGCCUACAUAUAAGUGAAAAGCAAUGUAGAGGUUUCAUUUUUUGUGGGGGGUUUUUAGGUUAAAUGUAAACCAACUGGUUUCUAUCAAAAGCUAGAACACUGAUAUUUUGUACAUGUUUCAGUAAUACAUUUUUCUAAUUUAAUUACAUUUUUUCUUUUUUAAAACCUUUAUCUUGUGAUAGAAUCAAUUCUAAGGCAGAAAGUAAGGGCUAGGCAUUGGAGUUGAGUAACUUGUCUUGGGUCACAUAGCUAGGAAGUGUCUGAGGUCAAAUUUGAUCCCAUCUCCAAGCCUGUUGUCCUAUCCACUUCCUACUGCCCCUCAAUUUAACAUUUUUUUAAAUGUCUACUAUAUGCAUAAAACUGUAUUAGGCAUAGAGGUUAUUCAAAGAUGAAAAAGAAAUAAAAAAUCAUUUGAGGAGAGGGGAAAAGAGCAAAAUAUGUAGAAAUAAAAAAUUAAUUGAACAAUGGAAAUAAAUUAAAUGUUAAAUAUAAAUACAAAGUUAAAUUUUUAUAUUUUAGAAUAUUAUAAUCAAUAUAAAUAUUUAAUUAUAUCAUAUAACAAAUAUUAUCAAUAAAUACAAUGUAUAAUAAUAAAGGACAAGAAGCAAAAUUGUGCUGCUGCAGGUAUGUGUCACAUGCUGCUCUUCACUUGUACACUGAGUUUUAUAAGUUAUUGAUGCUCUUUGACAUAUCUAACCAUUCUUCACAGCUCACAAAAAAAAUUUUUUUUCAAUCUUAAAUCUCCACAGGCUCUAUUCUGAAUGGGAAAGCCAGAGUAGUAGAGUAGAAUAAAAAUUCUCCUAACAGCCACACCAGUUGUAAUUUGCCAUCAACAAGAUAUAGUCAAACCAUGGACUAGGGAUCUUCAUCUGUGCUCCAACCUAUAAUAAAUGAUGAUAGUAACAAUCUGAAGAAAUAGCUUGUUGUACUAGCUAAAAGCCAACCUUAGAAACAGGAAGACUUGGGUUCAAGUACUGUCUUUGACAAUAUUAUGGUCUGAUUGGCAAAUCCCUGAAUUCAGUACCCCAGUGAGUGAGGCAACACUAAAAAAUUCUAAACAUGAAUUGUCAAUGACAGGAGUUUACAGACUAGAAGAUACCCAUACAAAUGAAAUCGUAGGCCCAUAACCAAAAAAAAAAAAUCUUCAAAGCUAAUCAAAAUUCAAGUUUCCAAAAUUUAAAAUUUCAGAAUUAUCUAUUCAUGUGUUUCACAGUUAUGUUUCUGACAUUUAUCUGAAGUUAUUUUAUUUUUUAUGUUUUUUUAAACCCUUACCUUAUGCCUUAGGACCAAUACUGUAUAUUUGUGCUAAGGUAAAAGAAUUGUAAGGGCUAGGCAAUGGGGGUCAAGUGACUUGCCCAGGGUCACAUAGGUAGGAAGUGUCUGAGGCCAGAUUUGAACCUAGGACUUCUUGUCUCUAGGCCUGGCUCUCAAUCCAUUGAGCCUUUCAACUGCCCCUGAAGUCAUUUUAGAUAAGAUUUAUUACUCUAAAAUUAUAUUUUCUUUCAAACACCGUUUGGUACAAUGAAAAUGGCAUUGGAUGGAGCCAUAGGACCCCUGCUUUUAUCUCUGUGACAUUAGACAAGUCACUGAAAUCUUUCAAAGGAUCAGUUUCUUUAUAAAUAUAUAAAGAUUGGUCUGAGUGCCUUUCAACACUAAAUCCAAGAAUUUAAUAGCCAAAACUUAUCUUCUUGUAUGAAACAUAAAGAUGAUUAAACUUGUAAUCAUUGUAGUGGAGUGCUGGAGCCAGCUUCUACUCCACUCCUGUGGUUUAGGGCUUGUUUUAUUAUUUUGUUGAUUGUCUAGACUCAAAUUGAUAAAUGUUUUCAGAGAGCUAGUUGUUAAACAUUUACCAACAUAUUCCUGGGUAUAGGGAUCUCCCAGGUGAGAAGUUCCUCUACCCUUCCCUAGGACUUAUAGUCAACAAUUGCUAAGAGAUCUGAGCGAUUAGAUAACUUGCCCAGGGUCACAGAGCCCAUAUUUGUCAGAGGUAGUAGGACUUGAAUAUAGGUCUUCCUGACUUUUAACUAUAUCACACUAUCUUCCUUUGUUUGAAAAAAAAAUAAUCCACAAAUAAGCUCCAAAGAGAUGUAAUUGGGGGAGGGGAAAGGAGAGCGAUCUGGAACAUGCCCAGAGCACCUGGGACAGCUUCUCUCCACACGAAGAACCUGGAAAGCUUGUUCUGAGAGAAUCAUGAUGAAAGCAUCUAUUGGAAAUCAAAAGGUGGAUUGUACUUGAGGGGCUUUUUUGGUGUAAAUGUACCUGGAUGACCUUUGGUGGCAAGAUGAACCCUUGGGCAGUUGGAGAUUAGAAACCUCUUCGAUGCUCUCGAUCCUGGUCUUCAGGAGUUACUGGAACCAAAAAAUUCAUUCUCUGCCAGUUUUUUGAUGAUGAACCUCUCCACAAUGAAUUAUGCUGAUCCUUGUUCCAGUAACAGAUGCACAACCUGUCACUAGUAGGGACUUGAAAUCUUGACCUGCCCUAGCAUGUGCCUUACAGGGAUGACCCACAGGGUCAUUUCUGUGCCUCAGGAAAGCAAAGCAAAGGACUUAAGUGGAGGAAUAAUUCAUAUAAAUGAAUCAAUGAUACCAGUUUAUUAAAUUAUCAAAACCUUUACCAUAGAGUCAGAAUGGAAUUUCUCAAUUCUGAUUAUUUCUUACAACUUACAACAAAUGAUAUCACAUAAAAUUUGUAUAUGUAAUUGAGUUUACCAUGUAUAAACUAAGUUCCAAACAAA